RNAcentral lists this ribosomal RNA (253 nucleotides) under uncultured bacterium. Its description in RNAcentral is "partial 16S ribosomal RNA". It matches the Rfam family "Bacterial small subunit ribosomal RNA", at positions 524 to 776 of the family's 1533-position model. The record is from RNAcentral.
UACGUAGGAGGCGAGCGUUGUCCGGAGUUACUGGGCGUAAAGCGCACGCAGGCGGUCAGAUCAGUCUGGAGUGACAGUCGUCGGCUUAACCGACGAAGUGUUCUGGAAACUGUCUGACUUGAGGGCUUCAGAGGGACACGGAAUUCCGGGUGGAGUGGUGAAAUGCGUAGAUAUCGCCUGGAACGCCGAAGGUGAAAACAGUCUGGCUGGGGGCGUGCCGACGCUGAGACACGAAAGCCAGGGAGCGAACGGG